RNAcentral lists this transfer RNA (91 nucleotides) under Candidatus Nomurabacteria bacterium. RNAcentral's name for it is "tRNA-Ser". It matches the Rfam family "tRNA". From Rfam's summary of the family: Transfer RNA (tRNA) molecules are approximately 80 nucleotides in length. Their secondary structure includes four short double-helical elements and three loops (D, anti-codon, and T loops). Further hydrogen bonds mediate the characteristic L-shaped molecular structure. tRNAs have two regions of fundamental functional importance: the anti-codon, which is responsible for specific mRNA codon recognition, and the 3' end, to which the tRNAs corresponding amino acid is attached (by aminoacyl-tRNA synthetases). tRNAs cope with the degeneracy of the genetic code in two manners: having more than one tRNA (with a specific anti-codon) for a particular amino acid; and 'wobble' base-pairing, i.e. permitting non-standard base-pairing at the 3rd anti-codon position. The record is from RNAcentral. Lineage: Bacteria; Candidatus Nomuraibacteriota.
GGAGAGGUGGCAGAGUGGUCGAAUGCAACGGACUUGAAAUCCGUCGUACGGCUUUAACCGUACCGAGGGUUCGAAUCCUCCUUCUCCGCCA